UUAUUUUGUAUAGUUUAUGUGUGAGCUCUUUUAUCUUUGAAUGAAUUAUCAUUUGUAACUUCUUCAUACAUCUGCCAAGUUGACAUUAUUAUCUAAUAUAUUUUAAAAAUGUAGGAAAUUCCUGUUUAGCACACCCUGGUAUGGGGGAGUGGGUGCUUGAAGUCGGACAACGGUAGUUGAACCUUUUCGAACAAAGACUUGACCUGUGUAUGUAGCAUAAGAAGGAUGUGAUAACAACUAGUGAAGAAAAGGAUUAUGGGUAUUGGAUAAUAAUUCCAGUGCUGGAAUUUGCUUGCAUAGACUCUUGGUGAAUUUUACAUGGAGUUGGUUGACACAAUCUAUGUUCUAAUGUAAAGGAGUUCUGCCCCACCCGUGAAUUGGACUUGUUAAGAAAAAAUGGAUCAUAUGGAGGAUGUUCUCUCCAACAGUUGUUCCACCGUAAGAAAUUGAUUUCCUGAACAGCUACAUAAUCUGUGCGGCAAUGAAGUAACAUAUUUGCUACAAGCUAUAAUAACAUGGUUGCUGCAAAGUCUGCAGUCUGCACAUUUCUUGUUACAGUUAUACUACCAUAUACUUUUGCAAAGGUCAAACACAUUAUUUCAAAAAAAAUUACAUUGUUGUAUGUUCAGAAUUAAUUUCAAAAUAUAAUAUAUAGAGAAAAAUUAUUUGGAGUCC
This is a long non-coding RNA of Daucus carota subsp. sativus, 675 nucleotides long. RefSeq lists it as uncharacterized. The record is from RefSeq and is a predicted model, not a curated record. NCBI's taxonomy places the organism in Eukaryota, Viridiplantae, Streptophyta, Magnoliopsida, Apiales, Apiaceae. The transcript is spliced from 2 exons.